GAAGAAAAAUGAAUCAAACUUGAACUCUGUCACACAGAUCACACAGCCAAAUUCCUGACUGGAAGUAAUCAGAAGCUUCAUUUUGGAGUGGUGAUUAUCUGGAUCACCUUUAGUGAGCAUUAUAGAUAUUUGGAUUUAUAUACACAGUUUGACCUAUUUGGUUUUAAUCCAAUUAAAUGUGCUUGUUUUUAUUUUGUAUUGUUAUGCUUCUGUCAGUUGCAUAAAAUAUUCUUGUGUGCAAUGGUUGAUAUUUUACAGGAAGAAUAUUGCUUUUCUGGUCUGUGAUGAAUUUCAUGAUGAACUUGAUUUCGUUAUUUUUGUAAUUGCCCUGUUGCUUUCAGCAACAUCUGCCUUCAAAAUUGCAAUUCACAGAAGAGCAUCUUUCCAUGAUGAAAAUUUGGCCAGAAUAUUCUGCAUCAGGUAGUUAGAUUAUUUUCUAGUGUUCUAGUGAAAUGCAUUUGUGUUGUCUGGGCUAUUGGUGAACUUCAUAGUUUUUA
RNAcentral lists this long non-coding RNA (497 nucleotides) under Equus caballus (horse). RNAcentral describes it as "lncRNA (ENSECAG00000046197.1)". Lineage: Eukaryota; Metazoa; Chordata; Mammalia; Perissodactyla; Equidae. The record is from RNAcentral.